This 430-nucleotide long non-coding RNA is filed under the name Ananas comosus (pineapple). RNAcentral's name for it is "long non-coding RNA (ACOM_LNC021229)". The record is from RNAcentral. Lineage: Eukaryota; Viridiplantae; Streptophyta; Magnoliopsida; Poales; Bromeliaceae.
AUUCAAUGGUUGAGAAUAAUAGAUUUUUUUUUAAAAAAAUAAUGACGGGUGAUGCUACUGAUACAACCCACAUAGGGUUGUACAUUCUACAACCCACAUAUCUAGGGGUUGUUUGGCCUAGCUAUUCAAAAAUAAUUCUGAGCCCAAAAUUACUUUUGAUCUCAGUAGAGCAUUUGGAAAUGACAUUCUGAAAAUCCGAUUCUGUUUUCUAUAAUCAGAAAACUAAUUUUGAAGGCUUCAAAAUUAAAAGCAGAAAAAAACUGUUUCUCCAAAACUGAUUCUGAUUUUGAACUCAAACUUCUAAUUUUUAUUUUUAUUUUAGAUUCAAAGUAUAAAUUUAACAUUAAAUUUAAAUUUUGAAAUUUUAAAUUCAUAUUUAAAUUUUUAAAUCUCAACUUUUCAAAUUUAAAAUUUAAAAUUUAGAUUUAAA